UUAGGUGGUAACGAACUAGCGAUAACAUGUUGCUUAUUAUGUCAUGUUGUGUGUAUUGCUUUAUGGACGCCGAUGUCUUUUACUUCACCUCCCUUUCUCCUUCAUAUUUUUUCAAGUAAAUGACAAAAUACUGAAAUUUUAUGAGAUCGUUGAAAUUUUUUGACGAGGUUCAAAGUGUACCUACCUACUUGUAUUGGCACAGUUUGGUUUUUGUAAGGAUUGUGUUCAACCUGGAGAAAAUUGCAGCAAAAGAAGAUGCUGUCUUGCAAGAUGCAUAAACGGAUAUUGUCCCUUUCUUGACAAAUAAAAUGCCUUCUUGUGUAUCUAAUUAUUCGUUAUAAAAAAACCAGUAGGUAAUAGGAUUUGUUAGAUCAACUUUUGCAUAUAAGUACCUACCUAUUAAAUUGAUUCAUUGAAUUAUAUUUUAAUUAGAUAAAAAUAUAACUAUGGGAGUGGAAUAAUUGCAUCAGUACAUUUUGUUUGACAAUUCGUU
Long non-coding RNA from Planococcus citri (citrus mealybug), 493 nucleotides. RefSeq lists it as uncharacterized. NCBI's taxonomy places the organism in Eukaryota, Metazoa, Arthropoda, Insecta, Hemiptera, Pseudococcidae. The transcript has 2 exons. The record is from RefSeq and is a predicted model, not a curated record.